CCCUAUUAUUGGGAGGGAAAAAUGGAGUUAGGGAGUAGGUCAUUGACUGAAAACCAUCUAGGAUGGCGGUUUUUUUUAUUAUUAGAUAAAUGUGUUUUUAAAACGAAAAUACACGACUAUCUUUCUUACCUUUGAAAAAUUCAUCCUGUACACCGCCGUCUGAAGAGUCAGCUUUAAUAGCUAGCCCUGUUACUCUCAUAUCAGUAAUAAGUCAGGUAAGGUGCAGACUAUGGGUAAGAAGAAAUGCAUUUCACUACACGUCGAGAGAAUUGGUUGAAAGCCAUUUUCAAGAAGAAUUUAAUAGUAAGAUUUUUUUAUCAUAAAAACCUGAACUAAUUUCAAAAAAAUGUACACAUCGCCCG
RNAcentral lists this ribosomal RNA (362 nucleotides) under Columbicola macrourae. Its description in RNAcentral is "partial 12S ribosomal RNA". The record is from RNAcentral. Lineage: Eukaryota; Metazoa; Arthropoda; Insecta; Psocodea; Philopteridae.